CUUUAGCCUUCACAUAAUAUUAAAUAUAUCUAUAGGCUUAAAACUCAAUCAAAUAGGGUACAGCCUAUUUGAAUCAGGAUACAGCCUUCAUCAGAGGGUAAUGCUAUAAUUAUGUGACUAAGUAGGCCUAAAAGCAGCCAUCUUUUAAAAAGCGUUAAAGCCUCCCCACAUACAACACUAAUCCCAAACCAAACCCAAAACCUCUUACCUAAACUGAAUGACUCCAUAUCCAUAUGGAAGCCCUUAUGUUAAAACUAGUAACAAGAAUAACUUCUCCAAUAAAUGUAAAUGUAAGCCGAAAUGGACCACCCACCGGCACUUAUCGCUAAUGAGUCCAUAGUAAUAACCCCCCCCCCAGAAAACCCUACUAUAUUCCGCGUUAACCUUACACAAGAACUUUCCUGGAAAGAUUAAAAAAGGAGGAAG
RNAcentral lists this ribosomal RNA (426 nucleotides) under Mantophryne sp. LAO-2013b. RNAcentral's name for it is "partial 16S ribosomal RNA". The record is from RNAcentral. Lineage: Eukaryota; Metazoa; Chordata; Amphibia; Anura; Microhylidae.